RNAcentral lists this ribosomal RNA (395 nucleotides) under Marimonadida sp. Its description in RNAcentral is "partial small subunit ribosomal RNA". It matches the Rfam family "Eukaryotic small subunit ribosomal RNA", at positions 582 to 975 of the family's 1831-position model. The record is from RNAcentral. Lineage: Eukaryota; Cercozoa; Imbricatea; Marimonadida.
AUUCCAGCUCCAAUAGUGUAUAUUAAAGUUGUUGCAGUUAAAAAGCUCGUAGUUGGAUUUCUGGCUUUAUAGAACUGACCCGCCACGUUAGUGUGUGAGUGUCGGCUUCUAUAUGCCAUCCUUCCACAGAACGUUUCUACUCUUGAUUGAGCCGGAUUCGCAAUGUGGAACUUUUACUUUGAAAAAAUUAGAGUGUUCAAAGCAGGCUUACGCUAUGAAUACAUUAGCAUGGAAUAAUAAUCUAGGACUUUGGUUCUAUUUUGUUGGUUUCUAGAACUGGAGUAAUGAUUGAUAGGGAUAGUUGGGGGUGCUAGUAUUCAGCGGCCAGAGGUGAAAUUCUUGGAUUCGCUGAAGACUAACUUAUGCGAAAGCAUUCACCAAGGAUGUCUUCAUUA